GAUGAACGCUGGCGGCGUGCCUAAUACAUGCAAGUCGAGCGAACGGACGAUAAGCUUGCUUCUCUGAUGUUAGCGGCGGACGGGUGAGUAACACGUGGAUAACCUACCUAUAUGACUGGGAUAACUUCGGGAAACCGUAUCUAAUACCGGAGAAUAUUUUGAACCGCAUGGUUCAAAAGUGAAAGACGGUCUUUCUGUCUCUUAUAGAUGGAUCCGCGCUGCAUUAGCUAGUUGGUAAGGUAACGGCCUACCAAGGCAACGAUGCAUAGCCGACCUGAGAGGGUGAUCGGCCACACUGGAACUGAGACACGGUCCAGACUCCUACGGGAGGCAGCAGUAGGGAAUCUUCCGCAAUGGGCGAAAGCCUGACGGAGCAACGCCGCGUGAGUGAUGAAGGCCUUCGGAUCGUAAAGCUCUGUUAUUGGGGAAGAACAGAUGUGUAAGUAAAUGUGCACAUCUUGACGGUACCUAAUCAAAAAGCAACGGCUAACUACGUG
Molecule: ribosomal RNA, 497 nt
Filed under: uncultured bacterium
Lineage: Bacteria
Description: partial 16S ribosomal RNA
Rfam family: Bacterial small subunit ribosomal RNA
Source: RNAcentral